CGCUUCUUUCCUCCCGAGUGCUUGCACUCAAUUGGAAAGAGGAGUGGCGGACGGGUGAGUAACACGUGGGUAACCUACCCAUCAGAGGGGGAUAACACUUGGAAACAGGUGCUAAUACCGCAUAACAGUUUAUGUCGCAUGGCAUAAGAGUGAAAGGCGCUUUCGGGUGUCGCUGAUGGAUGGACCCGCGGUGCAUUAGCUAGUUGGUGAGGUAACGGCUCACCAAGGCCACGAUGCAUAGCCGACCUGAGAGGGUGAUCGGCCACACUGGGACUGAGACACGGCCCAGACUCCUACGGGAGGCAGCAGUAGGGAAUCUUCGGCAAUGGACGAAAGUCUGACCGAGCAACGCCGCGUGAGUGAAGAAGGUUUUCGGAUCGUAAAACUCUGUUGUUAGAGAAGAACAAGGACGUUAGUAACUGAACGUCCCCUGACGGUAUCUAACCAGAAAGCCACGGCUAACUACGUGCCAGCAGCCGCGGUAAUACGUAGGUGGCAAGCGUUGUCCGGAUUUAUUGGGCGUAAAGCGAGCGCAGGCGGUUUCUUAAGUCUGAUGUGAAAGCCCCCGGCUCAACCGGGGAGGGUCAUUGGAAACUGGGAGACUUGAGUGCAGAAGAGGAGAGUGGAAUUCCAUGUGUAGCGGUGAAAUGCGUAGAUAUAUGGAGGAACACCAGUGGCGAAGGCGGCUCUCUGGUCUGUAACUGACGCUGAGGCUCGAAAGCGUGGGGAGCAAA
This 734-nucleotide ribosomal RNA is filed under the name uncultured Bacilli bacterium. RNAcentral describes it as "bacterial SSU rRNA". It matches the Rfam family "Bacterial small subunit ribosomal RNA", at positions 67 to 772 of the family's 1533-position model. The record is from RNAcentral. Lineage: Bacteria; Bacillati; Bacillota; Bacilli.